AACGUAGGAGGCGAGCGUUAUCCGGAUUUACUGGGCGUAAAGCGCGCGCAGGCGGCUUUUUAAGUCGGACGUGAAAGCUCUCGGCUCAACUGAGAGAGGUCGUUCGAAACUAGAUAGCUUGAGGAUGGUAGAGGAGAGUGGAAUUCCCGGUGUAGUGGUGAAAUGCGUAGAUAUCGGGAGGAACACCAGUGGCGAAGGCGGCUCUCUGGGCCAUUCCUGACGCUCAUGUGCGAAAGCUAGGGGAGAGAACGGG
Molecule: unclassified non-coding RNA, 253 nt
Filed under: uncultured Anaerolineae bacterium
Lineage: Bacteria; Bacillati; Chloroflexota; Anaerolineae
Description: contains 16S-23S intergenic spacer region
Rfam family: Bacterial small subunit ribosomal RNA
Source: RNAcentral